UGUCAUGUGUCUUAGUUGGUUAAAGCGCCGGUCUAGCGAAUCCGGAGUCGUGGGUUCGAAUCCCACCAGAACGC
Non-coding RNA from Aedes albopictus (Asian tiger mosquito), 74 nucleotides. NCBI's taxonomy places the organism in Eukaryota, Metazoa, Arthropoda, Insecta, Diptera, Culicidae. The record is from Rfam.